Molecule: long non-coding RNA, 665 nt
Organism: Myotis brandtii (Brandt's bat)
Lineage: Eukaryota; Metazoa; Chordata; Mammalia; Chiroptera; Vespertilionidae
Exons: 5
Source: RefSeq, a predicted model, not a curated record
GUCAAGUGGGAACACAUAUGCUCCCUACUGAGGAAAAUAAACUGCAGUGUAUUUUUAGCAUCCGUUGGAAGGACUCGCAGCUGAAGCUACGCAGGAUCCAGGCCAUUCACUGAAGGCCCAAGGAUUGGCCGCAAUGUCACCAAGAAUUCCAGAAUGUGCCCUGGGGGUCUAUCUCUCUAAUCCCACCUCCUUGUUCCACUGAGCAGAUGUGGGAAAAGUAGGCAAAUGCAUGAAGGCAUCAAGGUCAACGGCAGAUCCCAUCCUGGAUACAUUACAAUCAUCAUGUCUUCUAAGGGUCUGCGGGACUGUGACAGGUUCUCAGACUUUCAUUUCAAUGAACUUAACAGUGCUGAGGAGCACUCAUCAGCACAAGUUCCAUCUUGCUUUAGCCUCCACAGCCAUCAGCCAUCACCAGCAGAAGUAAGGGGAGAAACCCCAGUAAGUACAUUGUAAACUCCGAGCCUAAAUUCUGCAGUCAGACUCACAGAGCUGAUUAAGCACUUUAAAGAUCACAACAAGGACAAUUAGUCAGAUGGUUGGUGAUGCUCCCAGAACAUUCUGCGUCCCUUCAAGGAACCUCUGUUCAAAUGCAGUGCCUCCAUGCAUGGCUGACACCAUGGACCUAUUUACAUUGUGACCAUGUACUAUACUGAUGGAAUCAUAUU